UCUCCGUUGGUGAACCAGCGGAGGGAUCAUUAUCGAGUUACCGCUCUACAACCCUUUGUGAACAUACCUAACUGUUGCUUCGGCGGGCAGGGGGUCCCCCCGGGGACGCCCUCCCGGCCCCGCCCCCCUACCAGGGGACGUGGCGCCCGCCGGAGGAUACCUAACUCUAUUUUAACGACGUUUCUUCUGAGUGGCACAAGCAAAUAAUUAAAACUUUUAACAACGGAUCUCUUGGUUCUG
This 240-nucleotide unclassified non-coding RNA is filed under the name soil metagenome. Its description in RNAcentral is "partial contains small subunit ribosomal RNA, internal transcribed spacer 1, and 5.8S ribosomal RNA". The record is from RNAcentral.